AAAAAAUCUACAGCGCCAGGUCCUUUGGGAUGACGAGGAUUGGAGUUAUCGAAAUAUUCGGCGGAUGCUCCAAAGGUUCCACAGCCUAAGUUCCUUAACAAAACAUACAAGAAAUUGUAUAACAAAGCAGGUUCAGUGGAUCUC
Molecule: non-coding RNA, 144 nt
Filed under: Anaerosphaera aminiphila
Lineage: Bacteria; Bacillati; Bacillota; Tissierellia; Tissierellales; Peptoniphilaceae
Also listed under: 1 other name
Description: GlcN6P sequence
Rfam family: glmS glucosamine-6-phosphate activated ribozyme aptamer
About the family: This entry contains a glucosamine-6-phosphate activated ribozyme that is found in the mRNA for GlmS.
Source: RNAcentral